RNAcentral lists this ribosomal RNA (468 nucleotides) under uncultured bacterium. Its description in RNAcentral is "partial 16S ribosomal RNA". It matches the Rfam family "Bacterial small subunit ribosomal RNA", at positions 28 to 507 of the family's 1533-position model. The record is from RNAcentral.
GACGAACGCUGGCGGCGUGCUUAACACAUGCAAGUCGAACGGAAAGGCCCUGCUUUUGUGGGGUGCUCGAGUGGCGAACGGGUGAGUAACACGUGAGUAACCUGCCCUUGACUUUGGGGUAACUUCAUGAAACUGGGGCUAAUAGCGGAUAGGAGCUUCUGCUUCAUGGUGGGGGUGGGAAAGUUUCGGCGGUUGGGGAUGGACUGGCGGCUUAUCAGCUUGGUGUGGGGGUGGUGUAUUACAAAGGCUUUGACGGGUAGCCGUCCUGAGAGGGUGAGCGGACAAAUUAGGACUGAGAUACGGCCCAGACUCCAACGGGAGGCGGAAGAGGGGAACCUUGUACGAUGGGCGGAAGCAUGGUGUAGCAACGCCGUGUCCGGGAUGACGGCCUUCGGGUUGUAUACCGAUUUCGUCUGGGACGAAGCGUUAGUGACGGUACUGGGUAAAGAAGCACCGGCUAACUACGUG